GAUGAACGCUGGCGGCGUGCCUAAUACAUGCAAGUCGAGCGAACAGACGAGGAGCUUGCUCCUCUGACGUUAGCGGCGGACGGGUGAGUAACACGUGGAUAACCUACCUAUAAGACUGGGAUAACUUCGGGAAACCGGAGCUAAUACCGGAUAAUAUAUUGAACCGCAUGGUUCAAUAGUGAAAGACGGUUUUGCUGUCACUUAUAGAUGGAUCCGCGCCGCAUUAGCUAGUUGGUAAGGUAACGGCUUACCAAGGCAACGAUGCGUAGCCGACCUGAGAGGGUGAUCGGCCACACUGGAACUGAGACACGGUCCAGACUCCUACGGGAGGCAGCAGUAGGGAAUCUUCCGCAAUGGGCGAAAGCCUGACGGAGCAACGCCGCGUGAAUGAUGAAGGUCUUCGGAUCGUAAAACUCUGUUAUUAGGGAAGAACAAAUGUGUAAGUAACUAUGCACGUCUUGACGUACCUAAUCAGAAAGCCACGGCUAACUACGUG
RNAcentral lists this ribosomal RNA (496 nucleotides) under uncultured bacterium. Its description in RNAcentral is "partial 16S ribosomal RNA". It matches the Rfam family "Bacterial small subunit ribosomal RNA", at positions 28 to 507 of the family's 1533-position model. The record is from RNAcentral.